RNAcentral lists this ribosomal RNA (499 nucleotides) under uncultured Glomeromycotina. Its description in RNAcentral is "partial small subunit ribosomal RNA". It matches the Rfam family "Eukaryotic small subunit ribosomal RNA", at positions 591 to 1092 of the family's 1831-position model. The record is from RNAcentral. Lineage: Eukaryota; Fungi; Glomeromycota.
CCAAUAGCGUAUAUUAAAGUUGUUGCAGUUAAAAAGCUCGUAGUUGAAUUUCGGGAUCAAAUUGUCGGUCGUGCCUCGGUACGCACUGGUAUUAUUGGUUCCUACCUUCUGAAGAACCGCGAUGUCAUUAAUUUGGUGUCGUGGGGAAUCAGGACUGUUACUUUGAAAAAAUUAGAGUGUUUAAAGCAGGCUUACGCUUGAAUACAUUAGCAUGGAAUAAUGAAAUAGGACGUUUGAUUCUAUUUUGUUGGUUUCUAGGAUCGACGUAAUGAUUAAUAGGGAUAGUUGGGGGCAUUAGUAUUCAAUUGUCAGAGGUGAAAUUCUUGGAUUUAUUGAAGACUAACUACUGCGAAAGCAUUUGCCAAGGAUGUUUUCAUUAAUCAAGAACGAAAGUUAGGGGAUCGAAGACGAUCAGAUACCGUCGUAGUCUUAACCAUAAACUAUGCCGACUAGGGAUCGGAUGAUGUUAAUUUUUUAAUGACUCAUUCGGCGCCUUACA